Molecule: long non-coding RNA, 528 nt
Organism: Vespa velutina
Lineage: Eukaryota; Metazoa; Arthropoda; Insecta; Hymenoptera; Vespidae
Exons: 2
Source: RefSeq, a predicted model, not a curated record
UGUAGUAGCAAUAAGUAGCAUGUGUUCCUUAUCUCACGGAAUUUAACAUUAACACGGAGUUAAUUUAUUGUCACCUGUCAAGUUUUUCGAAAACACCUGCUAAAACAAAAAGGAAAGAGGAGCAUUAAUGGUGCCAGGAAUGUAGAUAUGACCAAAGGGUGCACAAUGAUUUGCCGACCAAUCACGCAAUGAUUUAUCGACCAAUCACACAACGAUUUGCCGACCAAUCACACAACGAUUUACCGACCAAUGAGUGUGCCCAGUAGAGCCUAUCGACAUAAACUGAUCAAUCACGUGUCGGUAAAGCGUUUUUACUGGCCAUCUUUACAAUACCGCCUUUUUUAAAAUCUUCUAUCGAUCAAUAUUUAUACCUUUUUAUUUAAUUAAUUCAUUUUUAUAUACAUUUCUAGUUCUUUUUAUUCACUUAUUUUUAUUUUCUUAGUUACAAGACAAAGUCUACCGUAUGAAAUUAAAACUAGAGUCGAAAUCUGUAUUUCUAUUUUUUAUUAUAAUCAUAUAUGUAUGUUA